GGCUCUUUGAAAUAAAAUUUAUAGGGAGUCGGACCUGCCCGGUGACAUAGUGUUAAACGGCUGCGGUACCCUGACCGUGCAAAGGUAGCAUAAUCAUUUGCCUCUUAAUUGGAGGCUUGUAUGAAUGGUUUGACGAGAGCUUAGCUGUCUCCUGGAAAAUAAUUAGAAAUUAACUUUUAGGUGAAGAGGCCUGUAUUUAGCUAAAAGACAAGAAGACCCUAUUGAGCUUUAGUGACCCUAGAAAUGAGUAAAUCAAUUAAAUAAAUUAUGUAAACUUGUUUAAUAGGUUUUUUAGGUAAAUCUUUAGUUGGGGCGACUGAGGAAUAGAAAAAGCUUCCUUGAAGUUGAGAGUUAGUAUUUUAACUAAGGCUGGCUAGUAUUGAUCCAGUGGUGCUGAUUAUGGGAAAAAGUUACCAUAGGGAUAACAGCGUAAUCUUUUUGGAGAGACCUAAUCGAAAAAAGGGUUUGCGACCUCGAUGUUGGACUAAGAUAUCCUGAGGGUGUAGAAGUUCUCGAUGGUUAGUCUGUUCGACUAUUAAAAUCUU
This 545-nucleotide ribosomal RNA is filed under the name Synaptocochlea pulchella. RNAcentral's name for it is "partial 16S rRNA". It matches the Rfam family "Bacterial large subunit ribosomal RNA", at positions 1817 to 2597 of the family's 2925-position model. Lineage: Eukaryota; Metazoa; Mollusca; Gastropoda; Trochida; Trochidae. The record is from RNAcentral.